ACAACGAAGAGUUUGAUCCUGGCUCAGGAUGAACGCUAGCGGCAGGCCUAAUACAUGCAAGUCGUACGGUAAACGGUCCUUCGGGACCGUGAGAGUGGCGGACGGGUGCGCAACGCGUAUGCAACCCACCCCCGACAGGCGGAUAGCCGGUGGAAACGCCGGAUAAUACGCCAUGGUUCCGGAGAGGGGCAUCCCUCUCUGGGUAAAGCAGUGAUGCGGUCGGGGACGGGCAUGCGUCCCAUUAGAUAGUUGGCGGGGUGACGGCCCACCAAGUCUUUGAUGGGUAGGGGAUCUGAGAGGACGGUCCCCCACACUGGCACUGAGACACGGACCAGACUCCUGCGGGAGGCAGCAGUAGGG
This 360-nucleotide ribosomal RNA is filed under the name Alphaproteobacteria bacterium. RNAcentral's name for it is "bacterial SSU rRNA". It matches the Rfam family "Bacterial small subunit ribosomal RNA", at positions 1 to 359 of the family's 1533-position model. Lineage: Bacteria; Pseudomonadati; Pseudomonadota; Alphaproteobacteria. The record is from RNAcentral.